AAUCUACCUAGUAGAAGGGGAUAGCCCGGGGAAACUCGGAUUAAUACCGUAUACCUCCUUAGGGAGAAAGAGGGCUUAGCUUUGAUGCUCUCGCUAUUAGAUGAGCCUGCGUAAGAUUAGCUUGUUGGUGAGGUAAUGGCUCACCAAGGCGACGAUCUUUAGCUGGUCUGAGAGGACGAUCAGCCACAUUGGGACUGAGACACGGCCCAGACUCCUACGGGAGGCAGCAGUGGGGAAUAUUGGACAAUGGGCGCAAGCCUGAUCCAGCCAUACCGCGUGUGUGAAGAAGGCUUUCGGGUUGUAAAGCACUUUAAGUAAGGAGGAAAAGAUUGUAGUUAAUACCUACAAUCCGUGACGUUACUUACAGAAUAAGGACCGGCUAAUUCCGUGCCAGCAGCCGCGGUAAUACGGAAGGUCCAAGUGU
RNAcentral lists this ribosomal RNA (424 nucleotides) under uncultured bacterium. RNAcentral describes it as "bacterial SSU rRNA". It matches the Rfam family "Bacterial small subunit ribosomal RNA", at positions 123 to 541 of the family's 1533-position model. The record is from RNAcentral.